Molecule: long non-coding RNA, 242 nt
Organism: Cottoperca gobio
Lineage: Eukaryota; Metazoa; Chordata; Actinopteri; Perciformes; Bovichtidae
Exons: 4
Source: RefSeq, a predicted model, not a curated record
CAGACAAGUCAGCACGCUGCAGAGGAUUUGUGGAACCAGGAGGUGAGGUCUGAACCGCGGCUUCUCAUUGGUUCAUCACGAAUGAAUAACAAAGCAGCUCCGGAUGCUGCUGCUGUUGUGGACAGACUUCAGUCUCAGAGUUCCACAUGGAUGCAAUGAUGUUCACCAAACUAUCAAGUCCAGAAAGGUAUCCAUCCUCUCUGUUGCCCUCGACCCAUGAUGCUCGGUGGGUUAGUUCGUCC